AACGCUGGCGGCGUGCCUAACACAUGCAAGUCGAGCGAGACGGUUAAGAAUGAUCCUUCGGGUGAAUAUUAACUAGACAGCGGCGGACGGGUGAGUAACGCGUGGGUAACCUGCCUUAUACUGGGGGAUAACGUUUUGAAAAGAACGCUAAUACCGCAUAAGCGCACAGUAUCGCAUGAUACGGUGUGAAAAACUCCGGUGGUAUAAGAUGGACCCGCGUCAGAUUAGCUAGUUGGUGAGAUAAAAGCUCACCAAGGCGACGAUCUGUAGCCGACCCUGAGAGGGUGAUCGGCCAACAUUGGGACUGAGACACGGCCCAAACUCCUACGGGAGGCAGCAGUGGGGAAU
RNAcentral lists this ribosomal RNA (348 nucleotides) under unidentified eubacterium clone EH-21. RNAcentral's name for it is "bacterial SSU rRNA". It matches the Rfam family "Bacterial small subunit ribosomal RNA", at positions 32 to 362 of the family's 1533-position model. Lineage: Bacteria; Bacillati; Bacillota; Clostridia; Eubacteriales. The record is from RNAcentral.